This 305-nucleotide ribosomal RNA is filed under the name Pseudomonas viridiflava. Its description in RNAcentral is "bacterial SSU rRNA". It matches the Rfam family "Bacterial small subunit ribosomal RNA", at positions 338 to 635 of the family's 1533-position model. Lineage: Bacteria; Pseudomonadati; Pseudomonadota; Gammaproteobacteria; Pseudomonadales; Pseudomonadaceae. The record is from RNAcentral.
CCUACGGGAGGCAGCAGUGGGGAAUAUUGGACAAUGGGCGAAAGCCUGAUCCAGCCAUGCCGCGUGUGUGAAGAAGGUCUUCGGAUUGUAAAGCACUUUAAGUUGGGAGGAAGGGCAGUAACCUAAUACGUUAUUGUUUUGACGUUACCGACAGAAUAAGCACCGGCUAACUCUGUGCCAGCAGCCGCGGUAAUACAGAGGGUGCAAGCGUUAAUCGGAAUUACUGGGCGUAAAGCGCGCGUAGGUGGUUUGUUAAGUUGAAUGUGAAAUCCCCGGGCUCAACCUGGGAACUGCAUCCAAAACUG